AUGGCUUCUACAUCUCCCAAGAAAAAUAAAUUCAGGAUCUUCUUGCUCGCGCUGCUCUCGGUGAUGAGCGCACUGUUGUCACUCCCAUGGAGCUCAACAUUCAGCUUCAUGCCUCUGAUGGUGACCCUCUUCCUAAUCCCACUCGCUAUCGUCACCUUGUUGGCAGUCUUGUCUAUCUUGCUGUUACGCGUCCUGACAUCUCCUAUCCUGUCCACAUUCUGA
RNAcentral lists this ribosomal RNA (222 nucleotides) under Triticum aestivum (bread wheat). RNAcentral's name for it is "partial small subunit ribosomal RNA". The record is from RNAcentral. Lineage: Eukaryota; Viridiplantae; Streptophyta; Magnoliopsida; Poales; Poaceae.